This 327-nucleotide RNase P RNA is filed under the name Aequorivita vladivostokensis. RNAcentral's name for it is "bacterial RNase P". It matches the Rfam family "Bacterial RNase P class A". From Rfam's summary of the family: Ribonuclease P (RNase P) is a ubiquitous endoribonuclease, found in archaea, bacteria and eukarya as well as chloroplasts and mitochondria. Its best characterised activity is the generation of mature 5'-ends of tRNAs by cleaving the 5'-leader elements of precursor-tRNAs. Lineage: Bacteria; Pseudomonadati; Bacteroidota; Flavobacteriia; Flavobacteriales; Flavobacteriaceae. The record is from RNAcentral.
GCAGCAGGCCGCCUUAUCGCUGCCGAAGUUAAUUCGGGAGAGGAAAGUCCGGACACCAAAGGGAAGCAUAGCGGCUAACGGCCGUCGGGAUCCCCGCCUUCGCGGGGAUUUCAGGACAAGUGCAACAGAAAGGAUGUACAGGUAAUGCUGUAGUGAAAUCAGGUAAACUCUAUGCGGUGAAAUGCCACGUAAACCUGUGCUAGAGGGUACCCGCCCGAUGCAGGAGGGUAGGCAGAUUGAGCGUAUGGGUAACCAUACGUCUAGAUAAAUGAUAAGGCCCCGAUGUUAAAUGGGGGACAGAACCCGGCUUAUAGGCCUGCAUUUUUU